GUACAGACCAGAGGAACCAGAGAGAGCAGCAGUGAGUACUGCUCCAGAGUUUUCAGAGCCUGCAGAGUCAGUCCAGAUAGCCAGAGGUGAGUGGAACUAAACUAAUGCUUUUACUUGAAAAAUGAAAUGUUUUGAGCAUAGUUCAUGCAUCAUGAGUAUACAGUAGGUUGUUUGCAUUAGCAUUCACGAAUAUGCUGCAUUGCAUAGUUCAUUGUUGUUGUGGGUGAAUGCUGAAUGAUCCAAUAGUCUCUCAGAGAAGUCCAGGAGCCUUUGACUACGCCCUGGCAGGUAUAUAGUAAAGUCCAGGAGCCUUUGACUACGCCCUGGCCAUGGUAAGUACAGAAGUGUUAUAUACACAUAUACAUAUAUGACAGGAAGACCAGGUGCUCGAUUCUACGCCCUGGCACAGAGUUACCGGGACUAUAUGGUGACAGGUUUACCCUUGAUGUGAAUUGUCUGUGAUAUGGUGCAUUCCAUGAGAUCAUAUUUUAAUGAGAUGUUUUACUGUUCUACUCACUGGGCUAUAGAGCUCAUCCCACUCCCUUAACCCCAGUUUUGCAGGUUCAGUAUACAGUAUAUAGAGGAGAUCCACAGCGUACAGAAAGAGUAAAGAGAGUUGUAAUAGCUUAGAGUGAACAUGUAAUAGUAAAGAGAUGUAAUAGUUGUGUAUAAAGGUAGCAAUGUGCUUGACUUAGUGAUGUUUGUUUUGUACAUGAUCUGUAUAUGUAUAUAUGUUUUACUGUAUGUGAAAAACUAGGCUUAACAGGUAUGAGUUAACCCAUUUAGAGCAAGCUCUAGUCAGGGGUACAGAGUACAGAGUACAGAGUACAGAGUACAGAGUACAGCGAUUGUGCAUGCACAGGUUAAGCCUUGGUGCAGAAAAGAGUUUUUAUUUUCACAGAAAAUGUAUGAUCAUGUAUGAGUUUUACAGGUACACAGAGUGUAUAGCAGGCUUGCUACGGGUUCUGGCGGCCUUAAGCCGACCUGAAUCCUAGCGCCGGUGACGGUCCAUUUUGGGGUCGUUACAUCCUCCACCACCAGCAGCACCUACUGUCCCAGAAAACCAAAUGCCUAAACCUAGCUCAUCUAGGGGGAGCAAGGUCAAGAUGACCGAUUAUAUGAAGCUGGGUGCUCCCCAGUUUGAAACUGGUGAUGACCCGUUUGUGUACCUCGAGAGGGUCAAGACAAUUACAAAUGAGAUAGGAGCUGAUGACAGUAAAGCCAUUCAGAUGGCUGGGUUCACACUAAAAUGCAAAAAGGCCCGAGAGUGGUUUAAGAACUAUGUGAACCCGAGGUUGGACAGCCUAUCAUGGGAGGAGUUUGCAAAUGAGUUUGCAGGAUGGGCUUUCCCUGACAGUUCAAGAGAAUUGAAGAUGAUUGAGUUUGAGCAGCUAAGGCAAACGGAUGAGAUGAGUGUGGAUGAGUAUACAGACAGAUUCUUGGAGCUGUUGCCGUUUGCUGGGCAGAAUCUGGAUACAGAUCAGAAAAAGUCAAGGAGGUAUAUCAUGAAGCUCCAUUCCAGGUAUUCCUCCUUGAUUCAGUCAGCAGAGAGGGAGAGUUUUCAUGCCAUAGUGGAUAUGGCUCGGAGGAUGGAGGCUAGUGCAAUAAUCGAGGGGAAAGUCAAGCAGUCAGUGGCAAAGCCUUCUGGUUCCAAGACCCCAGGUGGGGGAAGUUAGAUCCUUUUUCUCUGAGUUCAGGCAGUAAGAGAUGGGGUAAAGCCAAGUCUAAGAAGAAUAAGUUUUGGAGCAAGAUCAAGUCAGGUCUAGGAUUAGGGAGUGGCUCAAGCUCUGGUGCAGAUAAUGCAGUAUGCAAGAAAUGUGGGAAGCCGCACAAAGGAGUAUGUCUUGUUGGGACGACAGCCUGCUUCAGAUGUGGGCAGGAGGGACACAUGGCACGGGAGUGUCCUAGGGCAGCUUUUGUGGCACAGUCUCAGCAGACAGCUUCAGGCAGUGUAGCUCAGCCAGUAGCUCCAGCCACGACUCAGGCUAGUGGCAGAGGUCGAGGGAGAGGGGCAGCCUCUUCUUCAGCGGGUUUCAGGGGUGAGGGUCCGUCAGCUCCAGCACGGAUCUUCACCAUGACUCAGCAGGAGGCAAACACAUCCAACACCGUGGUGUCAGGUAAUCUCAUCAUUGGUUGUUCAGAUGUGUAUGCAUUAUUGGACCCUGGUGCAUCUCAUUCUUUCAUUUCUCCGAGGGCCGUCGAGAGGUUGGGAUUGAUGGUCUCUGGGUUAGAGUGUCCCCUAUGGGUCAGUGGACCCAAGUGUGACCCGUCAGUGGCAGAGUCAGUCUGCCAGUAUAGUCCAAUUUUUGUGGAAGGAAGAUGCCUGUCCGCCGACCUUAUGGUUCUAGAUUUGACAGAUUUUGACGUCAUUCUAAGGAUGGAUUGGUUAUCUACCCAUGGUGCUACCUUGGAUUGCAGAGACAAGGUAGUCAGGUUCAGAUGUCAGGAUGGGUCAGAGGUUGUCUUCAGAGGAGACAGGGGGAGUACACCUAGAGGUUUGAUAUCUGCCCUUCAGGCUCGUAGGCUACUCAGGAGGGGUUGUCAGGGUUUCCUAGCUCAUAUGAGAGAGCUGGAUAGUCAUGUCAGAGAGCCCGCCUCGGUGCCAGUGGUCAGAGAGUUUUUAGAUGUGUUCCCAGACGAGCUGUCAGGUUUACCGCCUGAUAGGGAGAUAGAGUUUGAGAUAGAAUUGAUGCCUGAAACCAGACCGAUCUCUAUUCCUCCCUACAGGAUGGCACCAGCAGAAUUGAAGGAGUUUAAGGAGCAGUUGCAAGAGUUGGUAGAUAGAGGAUUCAUCCGACCGAGUACCUCACCUUGGGGUGCUCCAAUGCUAUUUGUGAAAAAGAAGGAUGGAUCUCUCAGACUUUGUAUCGACUACAGGCAGUUGAACAAGGUCACUACCAAGAAUAAGUACCCGUUGCCAAGGAUCGACGAUCUAUUCGACCAGCUAGCAGGAGCAGGUUGUUUCUCCAAGAUAGAUCUGAGAUCAGGGUACCAUCAGCUGAGGAUAAGGGAAGAGGAUGUACCAAAGAUAGCCUUCAGGACCAGAUAUGGGCAUUUUGAGUUCCUUGUGAUGCCGUUUGGGUUAACCAAUGCCCCUGCAGCAUUCAUGGAUCUCAUGAAUAGGGUUUUCAAUCAGUACCUGGAUCACUUUGUUAUUGUCUUCAUAGAUGAUAUCUUAGUGUAUUCCAGGAAUGCAGAGGAGCAUGCCCAUCAUCUGAGGUUAGUUCUGCAGACUUUGAGGGAACAUGGCUUGUAUGCCAAGUUCUCCAAAUGUGAGUUCUGGCUGAGGAGCAUAUCAUUCUUGGGGCAUGUUGUGUCAGAAAAUGGUAUAGAGGUGGACCCCAAGAAGGUAGAAGCUGUGGCUAACUGGCCUAGACCCACUUCAGUGACGGAGAUCAGGAGUUUCUUGGGUUUGGCAGGUUACUAUAGGAGGUUCGUUCAGGACUUCUCUAAGAUUGCAGCUCCCCUGACCAGAUUAACCAGGAAGAAUAAGAAAUUUAUGUGGACCGAUCAGUGCGAAGAGAGUUUUGAAGAGCUUAAGACGAGGUUAACGUCAGCACCGGUGUUAGCUUUGCCUAACAGUCAGGAGAAUUUCACAGUGUUAUGUGAUGCAUUCCGAGUGGGAUUGGGUUGUGUGCUAAUGCAGAAUGAAAGGGUGAUUGCUUAUGCUUCUAGGCAGCUGAAGAAGCAUGAGUUGAAUUACCCUACACACGACCUGAAAAUGGCAGCCGUAAUCUUUGCACUCAAGAUGUGGAGGCAUUACCUUUAUGGGGUAAAAUGUGAGAUCUUCACCGAUCAUAAAAGCCUACAGUACAUCCUGAGUCAAAGAGAUUUGAACUUGAGACAGAGAAGAUGGGUGGAGCUGCUGAGUGAUUAUGAUUGCAAGAUUCAGUAUCAUCCGGGUAAGGCGAAUGUGGUGGCAGACGCCCUAAGCCGGAAAUCACUAGGCAGUUUAUCCCACAUCACGGCUGAGAGGAGACCGGUGGUGAAAGAGUUUUACAAGCUCAUUGAGGAAGGUCUACAGCUAGAGCUGUCUGGUACAGGUGCUUUGAUAGCCUAGAUGAGAGUGACACCUGUGUUCCUGGAGCAGGUGGCUCAAAAACAACAUGAGGACCCAGAGUUAGUAAAGAUUGCCAGGACGGUUCAGUCAGGCAAGAAUGAAGAGUUCAGAUUCGACAGCAAGGGGAUCCUCCGCUAUGGGAAUAGACUAUGUGUACCAGAUGACAUCAGUUUAAAGGGAGACAUUAUGAGGGAAGCUCAUAAUGCCAAGUACAGUGUUCACCCUGGAGCCACCAAGAUGUAUCAAGAUCUGAAGAGAGUGUAUUGGUGGCCAGCUAUGAAGAGAGAAGUGGCAUAGUUUGUGUCAGCCUGCGAAGUAUGUCAGAGGGUGAAGCUGGAACAUCAGAAGCCGGCUGGAAUGCUUAACCCACUACCUAUUCCAGAAUGGAAAUGGGAGAACAUAGCUAUGGACUUCGUAGUGGGGUUACCGGCAGCAUCCAACAGGUUAGACUCCAUAUGGGUGAUUGUGGACAGACUGACCAAAUCUGCUCACUUCAUCCCUGUCAGGAGCAACUACUCAGUGGAUAAGUUAGCGCAGGUGUAUGUGGAUGAAGUGGUAAGGCUGCAUGGGGUUCCUGUUUCGAUAGUGUCUGAUAGAGGGCCCCAGUUCACCUCUAGAUUUUGGCGGAGUCUGCAGAAUGCUAUGGGUACCAGGUUGAAUUUCAGUACUGCCUUCCAUCCCCAGACUGACGGAUAGUCGGAGAGGACCAUCCAGACUAUAGAAGAUAUGCUCAGAAUGUGUGUGCUAGAUUUUGGCGGUUCUUGGAGGCAGCAUCUACCCUUGGUGGAGUUUGCCUACAAUAACAGCUAUCAUGCUAGCAUAGGGAUGGCUCCAUAUGAAGCUUUAUAUGGGAGGAAGUGCAGGUCACCUGUUUGCUGAGAAGAAGUAGGGGAAAAGGCCUUGGCAGGCCCUGAGCUUGUUGAGAUCACCAACAGGGUAGUGCCCAUUAUCAGAGAGAGGAUCAGAACUGCUGUGAGCAGACAGAAGAGCUAUACAGACAUCCGCAGGAGACAGGUAGAAUUUCAGGAGGGAGAUCUGGUAUUGCUCAAGGUGUCUCCUAUGAAAGGAGUGGUUCGUUUUGGAAAGAAAGGUAAGCUAGCCCCAUGAUACAUCGGACCCUUUGAAAUCUUGCAGAAGAUUGGGAAUGUGUCGUACAAGCUGGAUUUACCUGCUUCAAUGGAAAGCAUCCAUCCGGUUUUCCAUGUUUCCAUGUUGAGGAAGUUCGUGUCAGAUCCGGGCAAGGUUCUUAGUGAGCCUGAUGUGGAGAUCCAAGAAGAUCUCACCUAUGUUGAACAGCCAGUGCGGAUUCUUGACACCCAGAUCAGGAAGCUGAGAAACAAGGAAAUCCCGAUGGUGAAAUUCUUUUGGAACCACCACAAUAUGGAAGAAUGCACCUAGGAGACACGGGAGUCCAUGCUCCAGCAAUACCCUUAUCUUUUCUAAGGUUAGUUUCUUGUGUGUUUCAUGUGUUUUAUGUGUAUGAUGUGUUUAUGCCUUGCAUGUGCUAGUUGAGGAACAUUCGAGGACGAAUGUUCUUAAGGGGGGGGGAGAAUGUAAUACCCGGCUAGACUCCGGUAUCGGAAUUCCUACCGUCCGGUGGAAUCUCGGGUGUCGGAGACUUCUAGAAGGGUAAAACCAUGUUUUUAUAAAAUGUUUUAAUGUAAUUUAUGUUUUUAAGCAAGAAAGAAAAUGAGUUUUUGCAUGAAAAUAGCAUUGGAGGAAAACUCGGGUUCGGCCGCCGAACCUCAAGUUCGGCUGCCGAACAUGCAUGCGCUUCGGGAGUGCUUUAGGCCCCCGAAGGCAUAAGUGAGGGAAGUCCAGGUUCGGCCGCCGAACCUUAUGUUCGGCUGCCGAACAUGCCAUGCAUGCGGAGGCACGUUAGGCCCCCGAAAGUGGCCUGGCCAGCCACCUAUAAAGGGGUCCCCAUGUCCGAACGGGUGAGCUUUUUCUCCCCAUUUUCGGCCAAGGUGAGUCUCCGCCACUCUCAUGCCGGUCUUGAGUUCUUCCUUCAAAUCCUCCAUGAUUUUUAUGAGUUUUCACCUUUCUUUUGAAGAUCUUUAAGCAAAUAGCAAGUUUUGGAGCUUGGAGGUUCAAGGAACUCGAUCUCUCCCAUCUCCGAGCUAGGAUCGUUUUUCCUCUCGAUCUUCAAGAGGUAAGAGUCGAUCUUGAGCUCAUUAUAUGUUUUAAACAAGUUUCAAGUUGAUUCUUGGGUAGAAAUGCAUGCUUAGGUUAGUUGAGCUUUGUUAGGUUUUGUGUUGUGUUUAUGGAUAAUGUAGGUUGCUGAGUUGCUUUUGAUGUGUUGUAGUUGGGGUUUAGGAUAGUUUGAAGCCCCUAGGAGCUUAUGUAUAUGUUUAUGCAUGUUUUGGUUGAGUUGUAUGCAUGAUUGAAGGUUUUGGGAGGCCAAUGUGCAUAAGAGCCGAGUUUCUGCCACUUUGGGAGAAACUCAGGUUCGGCAGCCGAAGGGACUUUCGGCCGCCGAACCUGCCUGUGGAGGCAAGCUUUUGGCUGCCGAAGCCUGCCCCCGAAAGUGGACUUUCGUCUCUAGAGGGGACUUUCGGCCGCCGAAGGUGCCGCCGAACAUGCAUGAGUUUCGCCUCUGGAGAGAACCUUCGGCUGCCGAAAGUGCCGCCGAAGGUGUAUGACUUUCGGCUCUGGCGGGACUUUCGGCCGCCGAACCUGCCGCCGAAAGUGCCCUGUUCAGCCCUCCUUUGCAUGAAUUCUUUGAUUGUUUUGAGGUGUUUUAGGGGGUUUGGGUGAUAUUUUUAGAGUCAUGUUCUAGUAUGUUUGGUCCCUUAUUUGAGUCCACCUGUGUAGGUUCGAACCCAAGGAACCGAGGACCCCAGCAGUGAGUCAGUUACUUCAGUUCAUUGUCAGAGUUAGCCUGAGGUGAGUGGAAUACCUUAUGUUAUUUCAAAGUAAAUAAAUAAAUUCUGAGCAUAAUACACGCAUCAUGAAUGCCAUGAGAUAUACUAGGGUGCUUGCAUUAGAAUCCACGAAUAUGUUGCACUGCAUUCUUUGUUGUGGAUGUGGGUGAAUGUUGUAUGAUCCGAUUAGUCCCUGAGGAAAGACCAGGACCCCAUUCUAUGGCCUGGCACGGUAUGAAAGACCAGGACCCCAUUCUACGGCCUGGCACAGUAUGGAACGCGAAGACCAGGUGCUCAGAUGAGGCCCUGGGGCAAUGGUAAGUAAUGUUAUGAUAUGACAGGAAGACCAGGACCCCAUUCUACGGCCUGGCACGGAUAUGAUGCUGGGACUAUUUGGUGACAGGUUCACCCUUGAUGUGAUUUGUCUGUGAUAUGAUGCAGUACAUGAUGGCAUAUGUUUUAAAUGUUUUAGUAUUCUGCUCACUGGGCUCUAGUAGCUCACCCCUUUCCCUAUAUCCCCUAGGUUUGCAGGUACGAGCUAGAUCAGGGAGUCAAGAAGAGUAAAGUCAUGUGAUUUGUAAUAGUUAGAUGUGGACAUGAUGAUUUGUAAAAUGAUGUAAGGUUAUGAUCAGUCAUGUUAUGUAAUAUUGAUAUUGAGGAUUAGAAUUGUGCUUGACCAUAGUAUGUUUGAAUAAUCCC
This 7623-nucleotide long non-coding RNA is filed under the name Manihot esculenta (cassava). RNAcentral's name for it is "long non-coding RNA (MESC_LNC007254)". Lineage: Eukaryota; Viridiplantae; Streptophyta; Magnoliopsida; Malpighiales; Euphorbiaceae. The record is from RNAcentral.